Malania oleifera is the source of this 530-nucleotide long non-coding RNA. RefSeq lists it as uncharacterized. The transcript is spliced from 2 exons. The record is from RefSeq and is a predicted model, not a curated record. NCBI's taxonomy places the organism in Eukaryota, Viridiplantae, Streptophyta, Magnoliopsida, Santalales, Ximeniaceae.
GGAGUGAUAGUGGCUAAGUCUCUGGGUUAUCCAAAAAAAAAAUAAAAAAAGUUAUUUAAAUUUUAAAUUAAUUUUAAAGUGACCAUGUGUAUUUAGUGCCGCCGAACACAACGGGGCUUAUAUAUUUUCUUUCUCAGUGAGGGAGGAAGAGAGAGAGUGAUGACGAGGGGAAAGCAGAAAAUCGAAGCGCAGAGGCGUAACGCAGAGAAGAAUCAAAAGCAGAAAGGCUCCCAGCUUGAAGCUCGUGCUGUUGCCCUCAAAGUCAGCUGCCCCAUCUGUAAGGUACAGCUAGCAAAUCAGAACCAGCUGGGUGAUCAUUAUGCUUCAAAACAUCCGAAGGAAAGGCCUCCUAUGGAUUCAGGUGGAUGAAUUAGUUGUCAGAAAUGAACUGCUUUAUGGGUGUCUAAGAAGUCAUGUAUUUAAACUCCUUAUCUGAACUGAGAGCUACUUCUUCUCUCUUGUUUCUUGGUGUGUUAUCUUUUGUCAGCUGUGAAGCUUAAUGAUAAAUGAAACUUCCCCUGUUUGAAAUA